This 566-nucleotide ribosomal RNA is filed under the name Escherichia coli. RNAcentral's name for it is "partial 23S ribosomal RNA". It matches the Rfam family "Bacterial large subunit ribosomal RNA", at positions 1216 to 1782 of the family's 2925-position model. The record is from RNAcentral. Lineage: Bacteria; Pseudomonadati; Pseudomonadota; Gammaproteobacteria; Enterobacterales; Enterobacteriaceae.
AUGCGUUGUUGGGUAGGGGAGCGUUCUGUAAGCCUGUGAAGGUGUACUGUGAGGUAUGCUGGAGGUAUCAGAAGUGCGAAUGCUGACAUAAGUAACGAUAAAGCGGGUGAAAAGCCCGCUCGCCGGAAGACCAAGGGUUCCUGUCCAACGUUAAUCGGGGCAGGGUGAGUCGACCCCUAAGGCGAGGCCGAAAGGCGUAGUCGAUGGGAAACAGGUUAAUAUUCCUGUACUUGGUGUUACUGCGAAGGGGGGACGGAGAAGGCUAUGUUGGCCGGGCGACGGUUGUCCCGGUUUAAGCGUGUAGGCUGGUUUUCCAGGCAAAUCCGGAAAAUCAAGGCUGAGGCGUGAUGACGAGGCACUACGGUGCUGAAGCAACAAAUGCCCUGCUUCCAGGAAAAGCCUCUAAGCAUCAGGUAACAUCAAAUCGUACCCCAAACCGACACAGGUGGUCAGGUAGAGAAUACCAAGGCGCUUGAGAGAACUCGGGUGAAGGAACUAGGCAAAAUGGUGCCGUAACUUCGGGAGAAGGCACGCUGAUAUGUAGGUGAAGUCCCUCGCGGAUGGAG